This 477-nucleotide ribosomal RNA is filed under the name uncultured bacterium. Its description in RNAcentral is "partial 16S ribosomal RNA". It matches the Rfam family "Bacterial small subunit ribosomal RNA", at positions 30 to 507 of the family's 1533-position model. The record is from RNAcentral.
AUUGAACGCUGGCGGCAUGCCUUACACAUGCAAGUCGAACGGUAACAGGUUAAGCUGACGAGUGGCGAACGGGUGAGUAAUGUAUCGGAACGUGCCCAGUCGUGGGGGAUAACUGCUCGAAAGAGCAGCUAAUACCGCAUACGACCUGAGGGGGAAAGCGGGGGAUCGCAAGACCUCGCUCGAUUGGAGCGGCCGAUAUCAGAUUAGGUAGUUGGUGAGGUAAAGGCUCACCAAGCCGACGAUCUGUAGCUGGUCUGAGAGGACGACCAGCCACACUGGGACUGAGACACGGCCCAGACUCCUACGGGAGGCAGCAGUGGGGAAUUUUGGACAAUGGGCGCAAGCCUGAUCCAGCCAUGCCGCGUGCGGGAAGAAGGCCUUCGGGUUGUAAACCGCUUUUGUCAGGGAAGAAAAGGUUCUGGCUAAUACCUGGGACUCAUGACGGUACCUGAAGAAUAAGCACCGGCUAACUACGUG